AUCCCUUGAUGAGGACACUUACGAAGUAACUCCUUGAAUCACUCCCAAGCCUCAUACAAAGACUCAUCAUCCAAUUGUUGGAAAUAAUUAACCAAAAAUCUCUCUGCUAAUUCU
Gossypium raimondii (Peruvian cotton) is the source of this 114-nucleotide non-coding RNA. The record is from Rfam. NCBI's taxonomy places the organism in Eukaryota, Viridiplantae, Streptophyta, Magnoliopsida, Malvales, Malvaceae.